CAUUUGAAGAGAAAGUUCUAUAAGUGUUGAUAGGGUAGAAGUCAACACUUAGACCCUUCACUCCCACACGCAUCAAAUUGUGGUCAAUCCGAUCUUGCAAAGAUACAAUUAUCAAGAAUCAUAGUAUAGGAAUCCAUCCUAUAGCCAACACUAGCAUACCUCACAGUCUGUACUUAGUUAUAGUCCUUCUUUUGAGGAAGACAUCUGACAAAUCGUCCACUCCUAUAUGCAAUCCAUCGUUAAGUUAGAGAUCCAAAUCGAUCAA
This 265-nucleotide long non-coding RNA is filed under the name Elaeis guineensis (African oil palm). Its description in RNAcentral is "long non-coding RNA (EGUI_LNC056677)". Lineage: Eukaryota; Viridiplantae; Streptophyta; Magnoliopsida; Arecales; Arecaceae. The record is from RNAcentral.